Molecule: ribosomal RNA, 219 nt
Filed under: uncultured bacterium
Lineage: Bacteria
Description: partial 16S ribosomal RNA
Rfam family: Bacterial small subunit ribosomal RNA
Source: RNAcentral
CGUGAGUAACCUGCCUUGGAGUGGGGAAUAACACAGUGAAAAUUGUGCUAAUACCGCAUAAUGCAUUUGGAUCGCAUGGUUCUGAAUGCCAAAGAUUUAUCGCUCUGAGAUGGACUCGCGUCUGAUUAGCUAGUUGGCGGGGCAACGGCCCACCAAGGCGACGAUCAGUAGCCGACCUGAGAGGGUGACCGGCCACAUUGGGACUGAGACACGGUCCAA